RNAcentral lists this ribosomal RNA (253 nucleotides) under uncultured bacterium. RNAcentral's name for it is "partial 16S ribosomal RNA". It matches the Rfam family "Bacterial small subunit ribosomal RNA", at positions 524 to 776 of the family's 1533-position model. The record is from RNAcentral.
UACGUAGGGCGCAAGCGUUGUCCGGAAUUAUUGGGCGUAAAGAGCUCGUAGGCGGCCAGUUGCGUCUGCUGUGAAAUCCCGGGGCUCAACCCCGGGCGUGCAGUGGAUACGGGCAGGCUUGAGUUCGGUAGGGGAGACUGGAAUUCCUGGUGUAGCGGUGAAAUGCGCAGAUAUCAGGAGGAACACCGGUGGCGAAGGCGGGUCUCUGGGCCGAUACUGACGCUGAGGAGCGAAAGCGUGGGGAGCGAACAGG